AAAGUACACAGCAUUACAUGCACUCAAGGUUGCAAUGAAGACACUCCAGACAAGGCAUGACAGUUUUGAGAUAGGAUACAAGUUCUACACUGGGUGUGGACACUGCAACUUCAGUGAUAUUAAGAACACGUCAAAUGUGCUUCUUCACAUAUCAGAUGAAUUUUUUGGCUUCUCUGGUUUUAAUCUUCAAGCACCCAUCCAGGUUAUAUUCCGUGGAACUGAAUUAUAUCCAUUACAAGAACUGACUGAACCAGCAGUGAAUAAAGAAUUUGAUGAGUUUUUUAAAGCACUGCAGUGGAAUAUUGUGGAUAUAAUUUAUAAAUCAUCCAGUGAAGACAUAGAGUUUAUAAAUGAAAACAACUUGAAUUAUUGUUCGGACAAUCAAUGGAUAUUUGUUGACCUUAGUGCCAGAAAUGUGA
Molecule: long non-coding RNA, 419 nt
Organism: Erpetoichthys calabaricus (reedfish)
Lineage: Eukaryota; Metazoa; Chordata; Cladistia; Polypteriformes; Polypteridae
Exons: 2
Source: RefSeq, a predicted model, not a curated record